Molecule: long non-coding RNA, 1300 nt
Organism: Eublepharis macularius
Lineage: Eukaryota; Metazoa; Chordata; Lepidosauria; Squamata; Eublepharidae
Exons: 3
Source: RefSeq, a predicted model, not a curated record
GCACUAUAAGCAACCAAAAUGCCUUCAUCAGAAAGCAGCUUCUGAUCUUGAGAAAGCUGUUUAUGGAGCUCCUUCAGGUUCUCCCAAUUCUCAACAGAUUCUUGCCAUGGCUCCUUCAGGUAGUGCCUGUCAAAUCAGAACGUCAGAAAGAUGUUGCUCGCCUGCCCAACAUGCAAGGCUGGCAAAGGAAACCUGAUGUUUCAUCAUAUGACUUCCUUGGGGGCAGUUAAAGGAUCCACCAAGAAUGCAAUUUCACGAUACAGUUUCUUACAGCACCCGUGAGUGGCUGCCGUUGAUGACACUUUGCAGGCCUACUCAGGAUCGCUCUCUUAAUGUGUUACAUAGCGGAAUGCCAUCAGUUUAUUGAUGAAAUCACAUUUAAAAGCUUCAGAUGAUCUUGUUAAGAGGCCUAACAUAGAUAUUAAACAUGGGAGAUAAUAUAGAGCCUUGUGGCACAUCCCCCAUGUAGCUCCCAAGGGGGUAAUUCAGCCACUUCUACUGCAACCUUUUGUGACCAGUCUAAUAAAAAGAACUAAAGCCAUGUCAACACUGCUCCAUUCACACCCAUGUCACUUUCCAGGUACCUUAGCAGUAUGGCGUGCCCCAAUGUAUCAAAGACUGCUCACAGAUCUAAAAACAACAAAUGGAGAUGUGUUCCUUUCAUUCACCUGAAGAUGAAGAUCAUCUAUCAGUGCCAUUAGAGCCAUCUCUGCCUCCAAACCAGGCCUGAAGUCAAACUAUAAGGCAUCAAGGGCAAGUAUAUCAUCCUGGGAGUUGCUCUAUCAGUGUAAACACGAAAUGUCAAAAAGCACGGAUACAUAAGAGAAAUUUUAAAAUCAUGUCAAAUCAGUCUAUCUUGGAAACAUGCCAUUUACAACAAUUAGGUUGCAUCCUAUGGCUGCAUUAAUCCAGAUUAAUUUCCAGUUUGUUAAGCAUUCGAAUCAGGGUACAAUUAUAGCAUAAUUCUGUAGCAGUGCCAUCUUUAAUCCCAUAGCAAUAUGUUUUGUAACCUGAAACUAAAUUUCCUUACUAUUUUUUUAUCCCAAAGUGUGAUGUUAUAUUUCAAGAAUGUGUCAACUGAAACUUACUUUAAAAAUACUGUUAAUAGAAAUGUUAUCAAGCAAUUAUAAAGUGAUUUAAAUUUACUUUUUCUCCUCUGCAUUUCUGAAAAAAGAAAUUAAUACAUAAAUCCCUGUCAAAUAUAUGUAAAAGCACUACAUUCUGGUAUAUUGCCAACAUAUUCAAUAACAAGGAUUUAAAAGUUAAUAGUCUAGAAGAUUAGAAACUGGGGUCCGUUACA